GUUGUCGUAUGUGGCGGCCUCUGCCUGCUCGCCAGCUCCGCCACAAAGCCGUUUAAGCAGAUUCUCUUUCCUUACUCAAUAUUCAGGAAACAUUCGUUCUUAUGAAUCAAAGACAACAAUCUUUUCUCUCUUUUUUUGGUAUUUCGAGAGGAGAAACCAUGCAAACAUAGCAGCAAGACGAACUUGAGAAUGAUGGGUGGGUGAAACGUGUGAGCUCAAAACAAAAUGGCACCAUCCAGAAUCUUAGACUGAAAACAUUCACAAAUCGCUAUAUUUUUUUCCCAGAACGAAGCAUCAACCUUAAAAUGCAAAAUAUCACGCAUAAGCAAGCAGGAGACUCCUUGUUGCUUGCUUGCUUGGUCUUUUCAGCUUCCUUUUCUUCUACUUGUUCCCCACACAGCCACUCCUUUUUUUCCCCGGUGAUUAAAACCGAGGUGUUCUCACGGUCGCGGCAUGAGGCCUCGACGGCGAUGGCCUCUACGGCCUUGGUGGUCGCAUCGUCGUGUCGACGUCCAGGGCAUCGACGACACCAAUCCAGGCAACGAGGAGCCCGCGUCAUAUCGUCGCCAUCUUGACGCAGCUCCGGGCUCAGCCCUGGAGCAUCGCCGCGCCCCACAUGCGGAGCUCCGCCCCAAACACGCGCGGUGGCCGCGCUUGCUUGCCCUGAAGCUGCGGAGGACGACGACGAUGGCGGCGGCGAACGGACAACGGCGCGGCUGACGCGGGUACAGGCGGUGGCGGACUGACGACGGCGGCGCCGGGCGGACGGACGACUGCGUGGCGCACAUGAGAGCGGGCGGCGGCGGACGGACGACGGCGUGACGCCCGCGAGCGCGGGAGGUGGCGAACUGACGUCGGCGGCGCCGGGAGAUGGACGAUGACGGUGUGAUUGACGUUGGGGGUACGGAAUGGCACCGAACGAAGAAAAUUCGCACUCCGAUAGCGUAUUCUGAAAGUAGCACAAAUUAAAUGGUAAAUCCUAAAAGCAUUGCGUAUUCGAUGGCAUAUUCUGAAAAUUCUCGCCCGCCUAUCCGCCAUCCCGAAACGCCGCCGCCUCCCCUCCUCAUCGCUCCGCCUCCUAUUGCUGCCGGCCGCCGCUGCAUCCUUCUCCUGAUCUCCUUCCCAUGCCAGGCACCACGGCAACCUUCUCCUCCCCAUCACCGCCUCCUAUCCAUCCCCUUCAGACGUCACCGCUGCACCAUCCAAGCCACGCCACCAGUCCCUCAUCGGACGAGCUCAAGGGCGCCAGAUCCGGGCAGAACGAGCGCCGACGCUGCCUCCUGCCCAUCCCUAUUCUGGGCUCCCCUCGGACGACAUGCACGGGCUGAGCGGCGACACUGUCGACGACACGACGACGACGACAUCCUCCUCAGCGAGAUGCUCCAGUCGACCACCCCCGACGGUCUCUGGUUAAUCCACAGCUGCUGCAGGUUUUCUCCCUUUAUUCCUGCUCAUCUUUAGGCCUCCUUCUCCCUGACCUCGCUGUGGAGGAACGAGCUAGACGGCGGCAGCCUUUCAUCCACCGUCAUCCUCAAUUUUGUUUAUUCUCUGGCAAAGAGGCAAUAAAGCUCACCGGAGAUACACACAAGUUAUCAAUUCCGGUACUCGUUUCUUUAGGUGCAGAACUGGGACUUUAACCACUGUACAAUUCAGUGAGAGAGCAAUGCUCAUGCCAAACAAGGCUGUGGUAAAUGAGAUAUCACAAGACGGUGGAUUCGGUGAUAAGUUAUAUUAUUAUCCUCACUGAAAAUAUUGUCUUACUUUCUAUUCAUUACAAAUAGUUAAAUCUCCUUAUUUCAUCAUUGAUGCUAAUCUGAAAGUAUUGAUCAUACAAUAUCUUUGUAAGGAAAACAUAUUUGACAGGCAAAAUUUGCUAUAGGACAUCCAAAAAAACGUGUAAUUAGCUAAGAGACACCGCAAGAACGCGUUUUUGCUAUAGGGCACCGUAAAAAACUGGUAAUUAGCUACUGGACACCCUCGGGAUUAUUUUAUUAUAUCCGGAAGAAUUGGAGAGAGAAACAGCUGUGUAAGUACAGAUCUACCCUUUGAUUUUUUUUUCUUUUUCUUUUUUCUUCCUUAUCCUUUUCUCCCUCUCUCGUUCUCUCUCUCUCUCUCUCUCUCUCUCUGCUCUCAACCGUCGCCUUCAACCUCGCCCGCGGCCGCCGCCGCUCCUCCUAUGCUCGCCCACUGUCGCUGCUCCGCCCACCGCGCUCGCUUGCUGUCGCUGCUCCUCCCAGGCUCGCCUGCCGUUGCCGCUCCUCCUUCGCUCGCCCACUGUCGCCGGUGCUACUGCUCCAUGGCUUCAUGUCCUUCAUGCCCAGCACGGUGAUGUAGACAUGAACGCGCUCAGCCACUCAUCAGUAGCCGACGGCGACCAUUGGCGCGAACGCGGUGCCGAACGAGCAGUCAGCGGCGGCCUGCGAUGUUAGCUAAAUAAUGCAAUCUUGUGCAUCUAGUUUCUGUAGUUGCAUUGCAUAUGGUUGGCUGUGUUAGAAUCUGUCAGCAGCCGUUUUACUUCCAGUUAGCAUGUAGCUGUUUUCUAGCUAGUUUUUCGGUUGGACUGAAUUGGAUCGUGGGAUGGCACGGUCAGUAGUGGAUCCAGAUCAAUCGGGUGUUUUUUCUGUUAUGCAUGUAACAAACUCUGUAAUUGAGGAGAAUAAUUAGGAAACCAGAAAAGCAGCAGGGUACUUCGCUGUGCCAAAACUCUGCUCGUUCUACUCUGUUCUUCAGUUAACUAUUCAUAUAUUCGACAAAAGGUUCAGAGAUUGUGAGAGUGAGAGUUUGAUCCUGUAAAAAUGAGACCGUGUGCUUCACAUCCACCAUCGUUUCUUCUCCUCUCUUGCUCUUUGCUUGGUGAUGAGAAUGUAAGAUGUGUUUAAGCCCGUGAUUAGUGAAGACUAACUAAAGAAAAUGUUUAGCGGCCCACGUUGGAUUAACUUGAGCCAAGGGUAAACUAGUCUUUAAUGAUUGUUUCUCUCUCCUAUUCCUCCAAAAAUAAUAAAAUAAUCCCACCAGUGUCCAGCGGCUAAUUACCAGUUUUUUACGAUGCCCUACAGCAAAUACACGUUCUUACGAUGUCCCCUAGCUAAUUACACGUUUUUCAGAUGUCCUGUUGCAAAUUUUACCUAUUUGAUAUGAACCUCAUAUUCUUUUUAUAAGGAGAAACAAAGUUGAUCUCUCAUUGUCAGUAACAAAAGCAACUUAGUUUGAUGGUAUGUAAAACUAGAUUAUCGGGUAAGUUGAAUGUAAAAUUUUGUGAUUA
This is a long non-coding RNA of Oryza sativa Japonica Group (Japanese rice), 3262 nucleotides long. RefSeq lists it as uncharacterized. The record is from RefSeq and is a predicted model, not a curated record. Lineage: Eukaryota; Viridiplantae; Streptophyta; Magnoliopsida; Poales; Poaceae.